RNAcentral lists this non-coding RNA (87 nucleotides) under unclassified sequences. RNAcentral's name for it is "freshwater-2 RNA". It matches the Rfam family "freshwater-2 RNA". From Rfam's summary of the family: Aquatic, esp. fresh water. The record is from RNAcentral.
UUUGACACAAAGUCAAAGACUUAUGCGGAAACAAACCGCGUAGCCAGGAGAACUGGCAUUGGACUCCUAAGAAGGAGAAAACAAAUG